This is an RNA transcript of Oryzias melastigma (Indian medaka), 1545 nucleotides long. It is a transcript of the gene named protein-L-isoaspartate (D-aspartate) O-methyltransferase, with no coding region annotated. The record is from RefSeq and is a predicted model, not a curated record. The transcript is spliced from 8 exons. NCBI's taxonomy places the organism in Eukaryota, Metazoa, Chordata, Actinopteri, Beloniformes, Adrianichthyidae.
AUUACUCCAAAAUUCCAAUAAAGCAGAGACAGAGGAAUGUGGCCUUUUCUCGCUUUAAACUGACACUAGCCUCAGUAUAAACACAAUUGGGAUUUAAUUAUUUAAUUAUCUUUGGCUAAAAGGGAGUGUACAUGAAAGACGCCCGGUGAUAAAAUCAUUUGGAUGUCUGGUGACGUAUCUGCCGCUCCGCCGUCUCCGCUCGAAGUUGCGAGCUUCAUCGGGAAAACUGUUGGCGCAGGCGCGGCACUGACAGCUGCUGUCUACCUACUCCGCAAAGUCUGCUUAAUAAUGGCCUGGAAAUCCGGAGGAGCCAGUCACGCAGAGCUCGUCACCAAUCUCCGCAAAAAUGGCAUCAUCAAAUCCGACAGGGUAUACGAGGUCAUGCUGACCACAGACCGAGCGCACUUCUCCAGGUGUAACCCUUACAUGGACUCUCCUCAGUCCAUAGGCUAUCAGGCCACCAUCAGCGCUCCACACAUGCAUGCGUACGCCCUGGAACUCCUCCACGACCAGCUGUACGAGGGAGCCAAAGCUCUGGACGUGGGCUCUGGCAGCGGCAUCCUGUCAGUCUGCUUCGCAAGAAUGGUAGGUCCUAAAGGGAAGGUCAUAGGAAUCGACCACAUCAAAGAGCUGGUAGACGACUCCAUAAACAACGUGAAGAAAGAUGACUCCAGUUUAAUAACGUCUGGACGAGUCAAGCUAGUUGUGGGAGAUGGGCGGAUGGGUUACCCAGAGGAGGCGCCGUAUGACGCCAUCCACGUUGGUGCAGCAGCGCCCACCGUCCCCCAGGCUCUUCUGGACCAGUUGAAGCCCGGCGGUCGUCUGAUUCUACCCGUCGGGCCCCCGGGGGGCAACCAGAUGUUGGAGCAGUACGACAAGCUAGAGGACGGCAGCACCAAGAUGAAGCCCCUGAUGGGGGUGAUUUAUGUGCCUUUAACAGACAGAGACAAGCAGUGGUCCAGGUGGAAGUGACUUCCUUCUCCUCCCCCUCCACCCCCCCUCUGUCCUUCUCACAGUGGCAAAGGGAUGAGCUCUGAAGAGGAAGACUGUCCAUCCUCCACCUUUGAGUUUGAAGCAGAAGAGCCGGGUGGGCCUCAGCGUUUGGUUGAAAGCAUCACUCACCAACGUGCUGUUUUUGUUUGGAUCCAACACCGAACGGAGCUCUGGACGUUGAUUCUGAGGCUGCAGACGCUCAACACUCCAGAUGGGCUUUCAGGUUUCUUUCUUUACAGGCCUGCAUCCUUUUGGUUACUGUCCAUAGUCGCUGGAGGAUUUUUUUUUCUUUUUUUUUGUGGUUUUAACAUUUGAAUUGCAAACAGUUUCAGACAUUUUUACAUCGCCAGAUUUCAGCAGGAAAUGAAGAAGGCAGGACUGGAUCUGCUAAGCUUUCCCCCUCACGAGCAGUAUUAUCAACCACCGGAAACGCCACAGCUGUCCGUCACCCAUCCGCUGGUCACAUGACCACGCUCUGGAUCCACCUCCGAGGAUGCCGCACUACACAAGGGAUGCUCACUGCUUUGCCAAAAUAAAGCAUAUGAAGCAAAA